GAACGCAAAUUGCACUCUCUGGUAUUCCGGGGAGUAUGCCUGUUUGAGGGUCAGUUAAAAUAAAAAUCGAUGUGUCGCUUUUGUGACGUUUCGGAAUUGGGUCACCUUGAUCUCUGGGUUGAGAGGCCUAAAAUUGAUACCUUUCCGAGCAUCUUGGACGUACGUAACCUUUCAAGUGCCGGAUCUUUUUACUAGGUAUGACCAUGCUGUACGUGGCCUCGUACCCAUAACGUGUAUUCAUAUUUUGACCUCAAAUCAGGUAGGAACACCCGCUGAACUUA
This 281-nucleotide unclassified non-coding RNA is filed under the name uncultured Glomus. Its description in RNAcentral is "sequence contains 5.8S rRNA gene". The stretch from base 1 to 53 matches the Rfam family "5.8S ribosomal RNA", at positions 102 to 154 of the family's 154-position model. The record is from RNAcentral. Lineage: Eukaryota; Fungi; Glomeromycota; Glomeromycetes; Glomerales; Glomeraceae.